Pelobates cultripes (western spadefoot toad) is the source of this 267-nucleotide non-coding RNA. The record is from the annotation of a GenBank genome assembly. Lineage: Eukaryota; Metazoa; Chordata; Amphibia; Anura; Pelobatidae.
AAGAGAAAGAUGAGACAUGAGACCGAACAAUGCAGAAGAGCUGAAGGCCGCUAUUGAAGCAUCCUGGUCUUCCAUAAAACCUCAGCAGUGCCACAGGCUGAUAGCUUCCAUGCCAUGCCGCAUUGAGGCAGUAAUUGCUGUAAAAGGGGCCCAAACCAAGUACUGAGUCCAUAUGCAUGCUUAUACUUUUCAGAGGUCCGAUAUUGUUCUAUGUACACUGCUUGUUUUAUUGAUUGCAUGUAAUAUUCUAAUUUACGGAGAUUGUGG